RNAcentral lists this ribosomal RNA (468 nucleotides) under uncultured bacterium. Its description in RNAcentral is "partial 16S ribosomal RNA". It matches the Rfam family "Bacterial small subunit ribosomal RNA", at positions 28 to 507 of the family's 1533-position model. The record is from RNAcentral.
GACGAACGCUGGCGGCGUGCUUAACACAUGCAAGUCGAACGGAAAGGCCCUGCUUUUGUGGGGUGCUCGAGUGGCGAACGGGUGAGUAACACGUGAGUAACCUGCCCUUGACUUUGGGAUAACUUCAGGAAACUGGGGCUAAUACCGGAUAGGAGCUCCUGCUGCAUGGUGGGGGUUGGAAAGUUUCGGCGGUUGGGGAUGGACUCGCGGCUUAUCAGCUUGUUGGGGGGGUAGUGGCCUACCAAGGCUUUGGCGGGUGGCCGGCCUGGGAGGGUGGCCGGCCGCGUUGGGGCGGGGGGUCGGCCCAGAGUCCUACGGGGGGGAGAAGGGGGGAAUUUUGCACCAUGGGCGGAAGCCUGAUGCAGCAACGCCGCGUGCGGGAUGACGGCCUUCGGGUUGUAAACCGCUUUCGCCUGUGACGAAGCGUGAGUGACGGUAAUGGGUAAAGAAGCACCGGCUAACUACGUG